CCUACGGGCGGCUGCAGUGGGGAAUAUUGCACAAUGGGCGCAAGCCUGAUGCAGCCAUGCCGCGUGUGUGAAGAAGGCCUUCGGGUUGUAAAGCACUUUCAGCGGGGAGGAAGGCGGUGAGGUUAAUAACCUCAUCGAUUGACGUUACCCGCAGAAGAAGCACCGGCUAACUCCGUGCCAGCAGCCGCGGUAAUACGGAGGGUGCAAGCGUUAAUCGGAAUUACUGGGCGUAAAGCGCACGCAGGCGGUCUGUCAAGUCGGAUGUGAAAUCCCCGGGCUCAACCUGGGAACUGCAUUCGAACUGGCAGGCUAGAGUCUUGUAGAGGGGGGUAGAAUUCCAGGUGUAGCGGUGAAAUGCGUAGAGAUCUGGAGGAAUACCGGUGGCGAAGGCGGCCCCCUGGACAAAGACUGACGCUCAGGUGCGAAAGCGUGGGGAGCAAACAGGAUUAGAUACCCGAGUAGUC
Molecule: ribosomal RNA, 464 nt
Filed under: uncultured Klebsiella sp.
Lineage: Bacteria; Pseudomonadati; Pseudomonadota; Gammaproteobacteria; Enterobacterales; Enterobacteriaceae
Description: bacterial SSU rRNA
Rfam family: Bacterial small subunit ribosomal RNA
Source: RNAcentral